GUCAAUAGUCGAUUAUUGACUUUGAUCGGUCAAAGUCAACAUUGAAUGUUAAUCGCCCAAAGUCAACAUUGACUAUUGACUAGUCAACUGGUUGAUUGGGUCGGGUCAACAUCUGGUCGGGUCCUGGACCGAGUUGGGUCUAGGCUGGGUUGACCCAACCCAAACCCAUCUAGGCUUUAGCCCACCCGAAUUGGCCUUUCCUUUUUUUUUUCUUUCCUUCUUUUUUUCUUUUUCUUUCCUUCUUGUGGACGAA
Molecule: long non-coding RNA, 253 nt
Filed under: Carica papaya (papaya)
Lineage: Eukaryota; Viridiplantae; Streptophyta; Magnoliopsida; Brassicales; Caricaceae
Description: long non-coding RNA (CPAP_LNC013892)
Source: RNAcentral